This 1034-nucleotide ribosomal RNA is filed under the name uncultured bacterium. Its description in RNAcentral is "bacterial SSU rRNA". It matches the Rfam family "Bacterial small subunit ribosomal RNA", at positions 416 to 1463 of the family's 1533-position model. The record is from RNAcentral.
CCUAUGGGUGUAAACUGCUUUUAUACACCAAGAAAAACACUACGUGUAGGUGCCCGACGGUAGUGUAUGAAUAAGCAUCGGCUAACUCCGUGCCAGCAGCCGCGGUAAUACGGAGGAUGCGAGCGUUAUCCGGAUUCAUUGGGUUUAAAGGGUGCGUAGGCGGUCUUUUAAGUCAGUGGUGAAAUCUUGCCGCUUAACGGUAAAAUUGCCAUUGAUACUGAAAGACUUGAGUACAGUUGAGGUAAGCGGAAUGUGUAGUGUAGCGGUGAAAUGCUUAGAUAUUACACAGAACACCAAUUGCGAAGGCAGCUUACUAAACUGGCAACUGACGCUGAUGCACGAAAGCGUGGGGAGCGAACAGGAUUAGAUACCCUGGUAGUCCACGCCGUAAACGAUGCUCACUCGCUGUUUGCGAUACACAGCAAGCGGCCAAGCGAAAGCAUUAAGUGAGCCACCUGGGGAGUACGAUCGCAAGGUUGAAACUCAAAGGAAUUGACGGGGGCCCGCACAAGCGGAGGAACAUGUGGUUUAAUUCGAUGAUACGCGAGGAACCUUACCUGGGCUUAAAUGUAGAGCGACAGGUUGUGAAAGCAGUCCUUCUUCGGACGAUCUACAAGGUGCUGCAUGGUUGUCGUCAGCUCGUGCCGUGAGGUGUCGGGUUAAGUCCCAUAACGAGCGCAACCCUUAUCGUUAGUUGCCAGCGGGUCAAGCCGGGGACUCUAGCGAGACUGCCACCGUAAGGUGUGAGGAAGGUGGGGAUGACGUCAAAUCAGCACGGCCCUUAUGUCCAGGGCUACACACGUGUUACAAUGGCCGAUACAAAGGGCAGCUACCAGGUGACUGGAUGCUAAUCUCCAAAGUCGGUCUCAGUUCGGAUCGAAGUCUGCAACCCGACUUCGUGAAGCUGGAUUCGCUAGUAAUCGCAUAUCAGCCAUGAUGCGGUGAAUACGUUCCCGGGCCUUGUACACACCGCCCGUCAAACAAUGGAAGCUGGGGGUACCUGAAGUCUGUAACCGCAAGGAGCGGCCUAGGGA